Girardinichthys multiradiatus is the source of this 752-nucleotide long non-coding RNA. RefSeq lists it as uncharacterized. NCBI's taxonomy places the organism in Eukaryota, Metazoa, Chordata, Actinopteri, Cyprinodontiformes, Goodeidae. The transcript has 3 exons. The record is from RefSeq and is a predicted model, not a curated record.
UAACUGAGCCUGAACAUGCUUCAGGUUGUGCUGGACGGUACAAUCUGAGGGCCAGAUGUCAUCCCUAGGAUCACGACUGGUUGGUCGGAUCAUAAAUGGACAAAUAUAUACCGUACUGACUGACUUAACAAGGUGCGAUUUGUGCUUGACCUGUUCCAGUCCUCUGUAGUGGCUCUGGUUACUUCCUGGAUUUUGACUGUACCUGGCAAGCGGGGCUUCUUUCCUGACACUAAUUCUCUCCCUGGCGGUUUUCCCAGAUUCUCCAAUCGCUGUCCUUUCCGGCAGUAUAUGUCAAGCAAGCCAGCAAAAUAUGCCAUCAAAAUAUGGGCCACUGUGGUCCUCAUUAUUAUGUUCUGUGAUGCAAAAUCCAGCUAUGCAUGGAAUAUGCAUAGCUGAAUAUGUGUACACAGGGAAACUGCCGAGUAGAACCAGGGUAUGUGGGUUGUGCUUGAAUUGACAGUUGGACUGAAGGGGCAUAAUGUCACUUGUGACAAUUUUUCCACCUCCUAUGAACUCGGCCAGCAGUAAAUGAAGAUAUGGUUGGCACUGAAGAAUAAGCCUGAACUUCCCCCCUGCACUCCUCAAAACAAGGCAGAGCGGUCUUCUUAUCAAAGUUCGCCUUUGGGAGAUGAAUAUUGUCCUGAUCCACCUGAGGCUGCAGCUGGGUCAGUCAUAAGAAAAAGGUGCCAGUUCAGCCCCUGGAAGGAAUGCAAGACAAAAGCUAUGUACUGCACAUGUGAGAAAUACAUCUG